This 406-nucleotide ribosomal RNA is filed under the name uncultured bacterium. RNAcentral describes it as "partial 16S ribosomal RNA". It matches the Rfam family "Bacterial small subunit ribosomal RNA", at positions 30 to 526 of the family's 1533-position model. The record is from RNAcentral.
AUUGAACGCUGGCGUCAGUCCUAACACAUGCAAGUCGAGCGAGCGUCGGGCGGGUGAGUAAUGUCUCGGAAACUGCCUGCUGGUGGGGGAUACCUACUGUCAACGGUAGCUAAUACCGCCUACCAUCAGAUGUUCCCAGAUGGGAUUGGCUAGUAGGUGGGGUAACGGCUCACCUAGGCGACGAUCCCUAGCUGUGCUGAGAGGAUGACCAGCCAAACUGGAAUGUAGACACGGUUCAGAGUACGACGUGCGGCAGCAGUGGGGAAUAUUGCACAAUGGGCGAAAGCCUGAUGCAGACAUGCAGCGUGGGUGAAGAGGGUCUUCGUGUUGCAAAGCACUUUCCGCGGGGAGGCGGUAACCGAAGAAGAAGCAACGGCUAACUCCGUGCCAGCAGCCGCGGUAAUAC